This 395-nucleotide ribosomal RNA is filed under the name Promonturconchum superbum. RNAcentral describes it as "partial 16S ribosomal RNA". It matches the Rfam family "Bacterial large subunit ribosomal RNA", at positions 1796 to 2553 of the family's 2925-position model. Lineage: Eukaryota; Metazoa; Mollusca; Gastropoda; Stylommatophora; Camaenidae. The record is from RNAcentral.
UCGCCUGUUUAUCAAAAACAUAGCUAUUAGAAAGGUAUUAAUAGUUUCUUCUGCUCAAUGAGUUAUUAAAUAGCCGCAGUACCCUGACUGUGCAAAGGUAGCAUAAUCAAUUGGCUUAUAAUUGAAGUCUUGUAUGAAAGAAUGUAUGUGGGGUAGCUGUACCAUAGAUAUAUAAUGAAUUUACUUAGCAAGUGAAAAUUCUUGUUAUUUAAUAAUAGACGAGAAGACCCUAGAAAUUUUUAUAACUAUCACUGGAAGUUUUUGUUGGGGCAACAGUGUAACAUGAAAUUUACAUUAUUAACAUGAAAUAUAAUUUGUUAGAAUAAAUUACUCUAGGGAUAACAGCGUAAUGUAUAAACGAUUGCGACCUCGAUGUUGGACUAGGAAGCAAGAGC